Long non-coding RNA from Felis catus (domestic cat), 1550 nucleotides. RefSeq lists it as uncharacterized. The transcript is spliced from 3 exons. The record is from RefSeq and is a predicted model, not a curated record. Lineage: Eukaryota; Metazoa; Chordata; Mammalia; Carnivora; Felidae.
GAGGGUUUUGGAGAGACAAAUCUUGGCAAUUAGGACGACACGGGUGGAAGGAACUCCUGACUGAGGAAUGUCGGUGUUGAAGGCUUGUGGAAAAUAAGAGAAAAGAGAUGGAGAGGAGAAGAAAAAGCAUGCAAAGAGGAUGACUCCCACAGGAGUAAAUAUCAGAUAAAUCAAGGGGAAAAGAGGACGUGUUAUAACAGGCCAGCCAAUGGCUUCCUAGAUGGCAGAGCUGGAGUCGAAUGAAGGCAGAGAUGAGGUCACCGGGUUUAGUAAUCAGGAAAUGAGUGGUGACCACUGAGUGAGCAAUUCAGCAGCAUGAAAUCAGACUACAUUUUGUUGAACGCCUGACUGCAGUGUGUUCAGAAGGGAACAGAGAGCUUCGAGGGUGAACGCCUGUUUUGAAAGGUCCGCCAGUAAAAUGGCGGUGGGAAGUGUGUGUCCUCUUGUUAAGAGGAGUCUGCCAGAUAGUAGAUAAUCAGUGUAACAGAGGACAAAGACCAAGUGGGUGAGUAGUGAUCCUGCCACAGGAGGGCAUCAAAGAGGCUAUCAGCUCACCAACUUCAGACCACAGACAAUCCUCAAAGAGAAACAGCCCCGAAUACUGAUGUCUUGUUAAGCUCAUCAUUCAACAGUGAGCCCAUAAAAUGAUUGUACUGAAAACCUGUGGAGCCACCGGACGGGCACCCUCCAAUGUUCUGUCAGAGAAAUGUACCACAUGCUUUCAGGUGGCCUUCAGACCACUGGGCAGCUGAGCUUCAUCAGGAGAGAUGCCUGAACUGCACCAGUACAGGAAGCCACUUGGGUAAUCUGCAAUUCUCCACUCAGUCGCUGCAUUUUUUGUUUUGCCUCGUCUCAACUCAGCCAGCCCACAUCUCAACAGCAAGCACUCGGAGUGAACCCAGCUCUGGGCAUGUCAGCCCUGUCUUCCACACAAUGCCUUGCUUCCGGUCCCGUUCCUAUGUCACCUUCUUGAUUUAGCUCCCCUUUAUCAGCCCCACUCCACUCCUCAUUACCUGGCCCUCGGGAGCAGCCAAUCCCAGCACCCAGGAUAACUGCACAGGCAGCUGCAGGCCUGUCCAGAGCUCCCAGUCCGCAGGCCCAGCCCAGAGCCAGGCCUGAGUGCGUCUCUCCCAGUGGGAAGCUGUAUAAACACACGUGGCCUAUGAGUGUGAACGUGAGAUGGCAGCUCUCCAUAUCACCGUCUCCCAAGGCCAGAGUUCUGUGAGUGCUGAACAAACACCAUGUACGUGAUCAAGGAGUUUUCUGAAGCAAAGCAAGCAGUAUGGCAUCGAUGCUGCUGGGAGAGCAACUAAAGCAGAAGAUGAGGCAAGGAGCUUGGGUGGGAGUUCUCAGACAAACCAACUAACAAGAUGAGCAUGGGGUAUUUAAGGAAUGCAGAGCAACAAUGAGAGCAAUGAGAACCGAGGAAGUCCCUGAAUAAUCAUGGUCAAAUGUUUAAAAUAAGGAAAAGGGGGGCACCUGGGUGGCUCAGUCAGUUAAGGGUCUGACUUUGGCUCAGGUCUUGCGGUUCGUGGGUUCGAGCCCCGCGU